This 26-nucleotide non-coding RNA is filed under the name Cricetulus griseus (Chinese hamster). Lineage: Eukaryota; Metazoa; Chordata; Mammalia; Rodentia; Cricetidae. The record is from RNAcentral.
GGAAAGAGGCAUGUGGGAUUUAUACA